This is a non-coding RNA of Myotis lucifugus (little brown bat), 138 nucleotides long. Lineage: Eukaryota; Metazoa; Chordata; Mammalia; Chiroptera; Vespertilionidae. The record is from Rfam.
UACACUGCAUGGUAUCUGCAUUCAGCAGUUUAUUCCUGCUGGGUGUUCAAAGGACAGUGCGAUAUAAAUUCAGUAUCUGGCAUCGUUGGUUUUCUCGGCUUCAAGCAUGUUAAACCUGGUAAUUUGGCGCGUCGUGCG